This 300-nucleotide ribosomal RNA is filed under the name Glomus sp. RNAcentral describes it as "SSU rRNA". It matches the Rfam family "Eukaryotic small subunit ribosomal RNA", at positions 591 to 895 of the family's 1831-position model. The record is from RNAcentral. Lineage: Eukaryota; Fungi; Glomeromycota; Glomeromycetes; Glomerales; Glomeraceae.
CCAAUAGCGUAUAUUAAAGUUGUUGCAGUUAAAAAGCUCGUAGUUGAAUUUCGGGAUCAAUAUGUCGGUCGUGCCUCCGGUACGUACUGGCGUCAUUGGUUUCUCCCUUCUGAUGAACCACGAUGUCAUUAAUUUGGUGUCAUGGGGAAUCAGGACUGUUACUUUGAAAAAAUUAGAGUGUUUAAAGCAGGCUCACGCUUGAAUACAUUAGCAUGGAAUAAUGAAAUAGGACGUUUGAUUCUAUUUUGUUGGUUUCUAGGAUCGACGUAAUGAUUAAUAGGGAUAGUUGGGGGCAUUAGU